UAUACGUAUAUAGGUAAUAUGCAGGUAUGUAGGUAGGUAAGUAGGUAGGUAGGUAGGCAGGCAAUAGGCAGUAGACCGAUAAAGGCGGACGAGAUCGUGCACAGACGCGUUACACGUCAUUGUUAUUCUCAGGAGAGGAAGAACAGAGGAGAAUGGAGAGCGACAAGAAUUAUGUGUCAACAAAGCAAAUAUUACCGAUGGUCAGAAUAUCCAAAAAAGUAUAACACGGAGAGUAUGACUAUGUUGGCGAAGACUGUUUGAAGAAUCUCUGAAGAAGCCUCGCCUGGUCCUUACGUACUAGCUCUCCAUCCUGGGAUUUCCUUCUCACCCUCGUGAGCGCGUAUCCUCUGGCGUUUCUGAUUCAUAUCAGUUGUUUAGUUUGGAGCUGACACAUCGAAGGCUUAGGGUGUUAGUUAGUCUCUUUAUGAGAUAGUCCGCAUUGUAAUGUUUACAACAUGGGAGAAGGUGUGCGAUCCGAGUCACAAACACGUAUAUAUAAUAAAUAUUUUCCAAAAAUUAUAAAGUACCAUAAAAUAAAAAGAAAUAAAAGUACUGUUUUAAGUUGCGUAAAUUCAAUUGUAAACAGUAAUGUUCAAAAUGUAAAUCCGAUAGAAAAUGUAUGACUACGUCCUACCGUCCCGUACCGGUACUUUUGCCAAAACCAUUUUCCAAUAGAAAUUCCACACACACACACACACAACUUUAUUAUAUAUUACUUAUUAUAUUAUUAGUAAGAAAGUAUUAUUAUAUAUUACUUAUGUAUAUCCCAAAUAAACAAGAAAUUUCUAUUGGAAAAUGGUUUUGGCAAAACUACCGUUAGGGGACGAUACGACGUAGUCAUACAUUUUCUAUGGGAUUUACAUUUUGAAUAUUACAGUUUAUAAUUGAGUUUAAGUCGCUCAAAAACGACUUAUUUUAUA
Bombus pyrosoma is the source of this 920-nucleotide long non-coding RNA. RefSeq lists it as uncharacterized. The record is from RefSeq and is a predicted model, not a curated record. The transcript has 2 exons. NCBI's taxonomy places the organism in Eukaryota, Metazoa, Arthropoda, Insecta, Hymenoptera, Apidae.